Molecule: long non-coding RNA, 4841 nt
Filed under: Medicago truncatula (barrel medic)
Lineage: Eukaryota; Viridiplantae; Streptophyta; Magnoliopsida; Fabales; Fabaceae
Description: lncRNA gene25636
Source: RNAcentral
CUACUAUCCACUAAAACGAUUUUAAGCGUGCUUUUAGAUUUUCAAGCUACCAUCACAUUUGCAUCUCUGGUGUGUCUGUCCACACUCCAUACUCAAACUGCAUUGUGAAACUGAGCCAAAACCCCUCUGUUCCGGUCACAUCCAUAAUAAGUGACACGCCAGUGAGUCAGUGACUCCUGUGACGGUGAGCCGUUGCUAUGCCAUGCUCUUCCGCGAGUGCAGCACGAUCCAGCACUUUUGACAGCCACGGUAUAGUUAUAGAUAAGAUUUCGUCCAGAUAUAGGCAAUCAUCCUUUCAAUAACUGGUCAUACAUGAAAUCCAUUGGCUACAAUUAUAUUGGUUGAAGAAUCACUAUAGGAAAUGUGGAUUAUAAAACUGAACACAACCUGUGUUCGUAAGUCUAUUUAAAUUGAUCAUGAUAUACAAGUCACUGAUAAAAUCCAACCUAUAUAAAACUCACUAACUAAAAUAUUGGAGAUAGAUUUUGCACUGGAUAUUAUUAAAAAACAAAAUAUGAUUGCACUAUUCUACCAUCAGCUAUAAUAACCAGAAAAAUAAACAUAAACUCAUAAACUCGGAAAGCAUUGAGUCAAGGAAUAGCUGGAACAGGAAUAAUUCCCAAUUUUCUGCGAACAUCUUCCAAAUCUUGAUGAAAAUGCUGCUCAUAAUAUACACACAUGAGAUCAUUGCACUGUGUGCCAGCACGAACAGCCCAGGGGAAGUAGUGCUGAUAAAACAAUUUUCUUUGUUUUUCACUGAAUCUUGCUGUGCCUCCUAAAACAGACAUGACACACAUAGGAAGAUGCAUCUGCUCAAACUCAAUUACCUUUAGCGCUGACUCCCCAAUCAAGUUAGUAGGAAGGUCAAAAAGGGUAUGCCAGAAGUCAUGGACUUCACGAGCUCGCAUGGCAACAUAGGCCAACUCAUCUGUAUCCAUGAAGCGCACAGGAGGUCGAUCAUCUGGUGAAAAAUUCCUGGAUCCCAUAAAUCUAGCAUAGGCAGCACCAAAUGUAUUAGCUGGCAGGUCCCAAGCAUGUCCUACAUUCGCAGAUACAACACGAGGGCGCUCCAAAAGUACUGCCUGUCAAACAAGGUAAGGUUGUAAAAGCAAAUGCAUUGGUAUUAGUGAUGACUAUCUAUAACCCCUUUAAUCUGAAGAAAUGAAGCAAUAAUCAUCCUUGUAGAAUUUUGAAAUUCCAAAAGAAAACAAACAUGUUGUUGAAAGAAUAAAAGAACAUGAAAAUAACUAAAAAUUGGAGAACCGACCCUUCCUUCAGGGGAAGAUUUCAUCCUUUGAAGAACCCUUUGAAAGGCAGGCUUUCCGGUUGUUUCACCAAGAGCUGCUAUCAAAUCAGCUCUUCGUGGAUCCAAAAGUGCUCCAACUGCAGAACCUAAUGCCACAGCUGUCUUCUGCCAUGUCUUCAGCUUGAUUAAACCGCCUCCCACCAUUCCAAAUAGUUUGUAAAAUCUGAUUCAUUCACGGAAUUCAAUCACAAUUGUUAACAUCGAAUUUAGGGUUUUGUGAAUUUAAAUUGAAGAAGAAGAAGAAGAAGAGAUCAAUUGAAUGAGUUCACCUGUGUUGAGAGAGGCGAGGAGAUUGAAAAAGGGUUUUGUUUUAUACACGUCAAAAUCUCUCUUAAUAUAAGAAGGGAAGAUGUUGUGGAAAACUUAUUUUUGCCCAUCAAUGAUUGGCUGCCACAUAUCACUUUUAAGGGUAAAUUUUGUCUUAAAAUUACUUUUUCUAACUAAAUGACCUCACUUAACUACUAUGAUGUCAUUUAACCAUAAAAAGCUUAUAGUUUGAUUUAUUUUGCUCUUCAAAAAGUCAGUUCCAUUACAUGCCAACUAUAAGCCAGAUUUUGGUUGACACGGAAUCCAAUCAAUGGAGCCAAAUUCUCAAUUUCAAAAUUCAAAUUUCAAACAGACUUUAUAUUUAUCCUUCAAUACUCAUAUUCUCUCAUCUUUCUUUCAUUUUCCUUUCCUCUUUUUUCUGACAUAUUCUUAUCUACAUUUUUUCUUGUUUUCAUUUCUUUAGCUUCAUUUUCUUCUCUCAUUGCAGGAAAUUCUUUUUAAAACAAAGAACACAGACAGGUAAAAUAAUUUCUUUUCAUCUUUACAAAACCAUGAAAAUGAUCAUUAAACUCAUUAUUUCUUUAAUUUUUUAUCUUCAUUUUAUUGUUGAGCUUCAUAUGACAUAUUUAACAAACUAUAGAAUCUUCAACAUCACAUAUGAGGCAAAACAAGAAAAUAUAUAAAGAUGAGAAGUUAAAGAAAGAAUACAUAUCCAAAAACAGUCCUAACACAAUUUUACAAUUAUAUCAACAACAAAAAAGUAAAUAUACAAAAUAUAUUCAUUAGAAAAUGCUGAUUGUGCCUUCUUAGUUUGUUUGUCUUGCAAACUUGUCAGCUGAUCUAAUGUUUAUCCUUUCAUUGGCAGGAAGAUUCCAGAUCACAUACGAGCAAUAAGGGAAGGAAAAAAAAAAAAAAAAAAAAAAGAGCCCAUAAAUAAGAGAUAGAGGGAUGAGCAGCUGAUUCUCAGAGUGAGAGAAUUGAGAAUAUGGUUUAGUAUCAGUUUGGUUUUAUUUUUUUAUGCAUAACAAUUUCGGCUUUGUAAAUAAAAAAAAACUAUGUAUAAAGUGAAUUUUUUUAGAAAGAAAUGAAUAUUAUUUGAGUCAUAUUACAAGAAAAUGUAAGUGAAAUUUUUGUUAAAUCAUAACAAGUAAUAACAGAAAGUGAAAAAAAAAAUUUCUUUUGAUUUACAAAUAAAAUUUUUAUUCUUCUGUAAAAACAAAUCCUAAAUUCUGAAGAAAAAAAAAAAAGCUGUUCUAUCAAAGAUUCAUUGAAAAAAGAUUUUUGUUAUCAAUCUGUAGUAUAAAAAAAACAGACUUUUUUAUCAGUAGCAUCAGAACUAAAAAAGAUUCAUCUACAAAAGAAAUUUUUACAUCUCUAGAAAUAAAACAAAAUCACAUCCAAUUUCAUAUUUGUAUUGUUGUUGUUGCAUGUAAUGGAAACAAAAUAUGUAAAGAACUUGACCUUGAUGAAGACAACAGCCCAGGUUUAAGUGUUUGUGUAAAAAUUCUGACCCAGAUCUGGAAAACACGUAAGCUCUUUCCCGGCACGGUGGUUGCAAGCUCCGGCGUGGUGGUCACCGGCGAAGGUUGUCCGUUCCUGAUUUUCUUUAAAUGGGUUUUGUAGAGAAGAUGGAGGGGACUCUUUUUAUGGUGAUGGAUUUUCAAAAGCUUGUGCGUGGAUGUCAAGAUCUAGCCGAAAAGAUGGUCGUAGGGAAAUUUAAAAUCAUCUUUGAGUUGAAAUAAAUUUGAUAGAGUAUAAUUACAUAUGAAAAGGAGAGGAUGAAGAUGGUGGAGCAAUGUAACGACCGCCGGAGACACACUGAAGGAGGGAGGAGGAGGAGGAGGAGGCGUCGGCUAGGGUUUGUUUGAGAAUGAGAGAGUUUUCUAGAUUUCUUUGGUGAAGAGAGAGAAAAUUAACUUUGAAAUAAAUAUGGUGUGUGUGGAAUAAAGUUAAAUGACAAAAAAUAAAAUAAAAAGAAAAUUAUAAAAAUAUACUCUAGGUUUGUACGAGAUAGAAACGGGUAUAGACUUUUUUUAUUGCAAAAUUAGUGUAACAUAAUAAAAAUAAAAAUAAAUAAUUUCUUUAAAAAAAUAAUAAUUAUUAUUAUUAUUAUUAUUUCUUUAUCAAAUAAAAAAAAAUAGUAGUAGUUUAUUUAAUCUCUAAAAAUAUAAUUUAAUAAAUGUUAUUUUACAUACACACACAUAUAUAUAUAUAUAUAUAUAUAUAUAUAUAACGGCGUGUUUUUUUACAAGAUCUAAAGACGUGUUGUUACAUUAAUUAAUGAAUAUUAAAAUUUAAUUUUUUUAUAUUCAUAAAGACAUAAGGUAAAUAAAUUUCAUUGUUACAUUUGCAUCUCUGGUGUGUCUGUCCACACUCCAUACUCAAACUGCAUUGUGAAACUGAGCCAAAACUUCUCUGUUCCGGUCACAUCCAUAAUAAGUGACACGCCAGUGAGUCAGUGACUCCUGUGAUGGUGAGCCGUUGCUAUGCCAUGCUCUUCCGCGAGUGCAGCACGAUCCAGCACUUUUGACAGCCACGGUAUAGUUAUAGAUAAGAUUUCGUCCAGAUAUAGGCAAUUAUCCUUUCAAUAAUCGGUCAUACAUGAAAUCCAUUGGCUACAAUUAUAUUGGUUGAAGAAUCACUGUAGGAAAUGUGGAUUAUAAAACUGAACACAGCCUGUGUUCGUAAGUCUAUUUAAAUUGAUCAUGAUAUACAAGUCACUGAUAAAAUACAACCUAUAUAAAACUCACUAACUAAAAUAUUGGAGAUAGAUUUUGCACUGGAUAUUAUUAAAAAACAAAAUAUGAUUGCACUAUUCUACCAUCAGCUAUAAUAACCAGAAAAAUAAACAUAAACUCAUAAACUCGGAAAGCAUUGAGUCAAGGAAUAGCUGGAACAGGAAUAAUUCCCAAUUUUCUGCGAACAUCUUCCAAAUCUUGAUGAAAAUGCUGCUCAUAAUAUACACACAUGAGAUCAUUGCACUGUGUGCCAGCACGAACAGCCCAGGGGAAGUAGUGCUGAUAAAACAAUUUUCUUUGUUUUUCACUGAAUCUUGCUGUGCCUCCUAAAACAGACAUGACACACAUAGGAAGAUGCAUCUGCUCAAACUCAAUUACCUUUAGCGCUGACUCCCCAAUCAAGUUAGUAGGAAGGUCAAAAAGGGUAUGCCAGAAGUCAUGGACUUCACGAGCUCGCAUGGCAACAUAGGCCAACUCAUCUGUAUCCAUGAAGCGCACAGGAGGUCGAUCAUCUGGUGAAAAAUUCCUGG